ACAAAAUUUAGGUAAUACAUGUUAUUUGAAUUGUUUUUUACAAGCAUUGUAUAGUACAGUAGCAUUUGUUGUGAAUUUAUAUUUGUAUAAUAUGGAUGGUUGUAGUAGCCUUGAUUUAAAUGCCAAUGCUAAUGACAUAAAUUAUUACGACGCUAGCAAUAAAGGUAACAUUAACGGUAAUAUUAACGGUAACAUUAUUAGUAAUACGAACGGCAGCAUUAACGGUAACACUAACAGUAAUAGUAACAGUACUAGUAAAGAUAAAUACCAAAAUGGAAUUAUUACAACAAAUGCAAAAGUUUCUAAUUACAUAGGAGUACAAAAAUCUGAGUCUAUAAAACUGCUAAAUGAAUUAAAAAACCUUUUCAAAUUAAUGACAGUAACAAAAGAAAAAAGUGUAUCACCUAAAUGCUUACUAGAUGUACUUCCAGAAAAAAUUAAUAAUAAUGAUCAACAAGAUGUGACUGAAUUGUUUCGAUAUAUGUUUGAACAAUUAAGUGGAAUAGGUGAAGUUCUGUUACGUUUAAUAUUUGCUGGGUUAGUAAUUCAAAAAGUACAAUGUCAGAAAUGUUUAUAUGUUUCCAAAAAAAAAGAAAUUAUUUAUGAUUUAUCAUUUCAUGUACCAGUAAAAACUAAUCAAAAGUUAUCUGUUCAAAAAUUUUUUGAUAUAUAUAUACAAAAGGAAAAAAUAUGUGGUAAUAAUAAAUAUAAAUGUCCCGUGUGUGAAAAAAAAAGAAAUGCUUUAAAGUGGAAUGAGAUACUUUCUCCCCCUUGCCAUUUGAUUUUGAUAAUGAGCAGGUACAACUGGUCAUUUAACUCCGAUGAAAAAAAAAAAAUAAAAACUCACGUUAAAAUAAAUUCCAAAAUCGUUGUUAACAAAUUUAAUUAUAAGUUAUAUGGAGCAAUUAUACACAAGGGUACCUCUGCAUCUUCAGGUCAUUACUAUUUUAUCGGUUGUAAAUCAGAGAAUAUAAAUAGUAACAAAAGUAGUAAUAGCUGGUAUCAAAUGAACGAUGAUACAGUUACAAAAACAAGUCACAGAUUAAUAAAUAGAAUAUCGAAAGAUCCUUCUAAUGAUCAUACACCUUAUGUUUUAUUUUAUCGAUGUAAGCAGGCACCGCGUUCUCCUUCAUUGCAUUUUUAAUGUAAC
This 1150-nucleotide long non-coding RNA is filed under the name Piliocolobus tephrosceles (Ugandan red Colobus). RNAcentral's name for it is "lncRNA (ENSPTEG00000006064.1)". The record is from RNAcentral. Lineage: Eukaryota; Metazoa; Chordata; Mammalia; Primates; Cercopithecidae.